This 493-nucleotide long non-coding RNA is filed under the name Equus asinus (donkey). RNAcentral describes it as "lncRNA (ENSEASG00005033065.1)". Lineage: Eukaryota; Metazoa; Chordata; Mammalia; Perissodactyla; Equidae. The record is from RNAcentral.
CUGGCCCUGAGCUAACAUCCGUGCCUAUCUUCCUCUACUUUAUAUGUGGGACGCCUACCACGGCAUGGUUUGCCAAGCAGUGCCAUGUCCGCACCAGGAUCCAAACCUGCGCCACCAGGCCGGCCCCUAUUGUAGCUUUUUCUUAAGCCUUCAUUUCUGGCAACAAGAUUUUAUCUUAUUCACUGAUAUGCCACACAGAUUCUCCAAACUGUUUGAAGCCAGUAAGAGAGAAGGAAGAAAAGACGAUUCUAGGAUGACACCAGAUUUCUGGUUUUGGUAGCUGCAUUGAAGGAAGCUAGUGCUUCAUACCUACUUUCCUUGGGGGAAAAUGAAUGAAAAAGAGACUGAAUUCAAUCUUGAACAUGAUGAGUUUGAGAUGCCCAGAGCAUCCAAGAUAUUGAAAGUUGGAGAUGUUGAGAAUCCAUGGGAUGGACCAGUCUGGAGCUGAAGAAGCCACUGGGAUUAGUACCCUGCAACGUUCAGAUGGUACAAC